CUAGCGACUUCAGAGUUUGAUCCUGGCUCAGGAUGAACGCUAGCGGCAGGCUUAACACAUGCAAGUCGAGGGGCAGCAUAAACAUUGCUUGCAAUGUUUGAUGGCGACCGGCGCACGGGUGCGUAACGCGUAUGCAACCUACCUGUAACAGGGGGAUAACACUGAGAAAUUGGUACUAAUACCCCGUAACAUCAUUAAGGGCAUCCUUUUUGGUUGAAAGUUCCGGCGGUUACAGAUGGGCAUGCGUUGUAUUAGCUAGUAGGUGAGGUAACGGCUCACCUAGGCGACGAUACAUAGGGGGACUGAGAGGUUAACCCCCCACAUUGGUACUGAGACACGGACCAA
RNAcentral lists this ribosomal RNA (345 nucleotides) under uncultured bacterium. RNAcentral's name for it is "bacterial SSU rRNA". It matches the Rfam family "Bacterial small subunit ribosomal RNA", at positions 1 to 334 of the family's 1533-position model. The record is from RNAcentral.